This 2073-nucleotide long non-coding RNA is filed under the name Oryctolagus cuniculus (rabbit). RNAcentral describes it as "lncRNA (ENSOCUG00000031022.1)". Lineage: Eukaryota; Metazoa; Chordata; Mammalia; Lagomorpha; Leporidae. The record is from RNAcentral.
GGUGGUGGCACCUGCAGACCAGGCCGAGGCUAAUCAGAAGUAAACCUAGAGAUGGGUUGAGGGGACUUUACUAGGGACCCCUAGAGAUGGAAGACGUGGGAGAAGAGAAAUUGCCCCACUCAAAUCUCUUCCUACAAAUGCUCUGGAGCACCUCUUGAAGGCUCCAUGUGCUGAGGUGGACCCCAAAUCCUGCCAGAUGCCAUCACUUAUCCUCCUUUGGACACCUGCACAAAUAUUCCUGGGCCCAGUCUCCUGUUGAGGUCAUUCCUCGUGCCACUGCUUCUGUGUGGCCUCUAAAAACUGAGGGCAACUCCCUCAGCCCCUCUGCUUUUCCUUCAUUAGCAACCCUGCAAUACAAUGAUAAAGACAGGGAUGCACUGCACAGUUCUGACAGAAAUGGGACCCAUCCUGGGGUUGUCUGGGCUGUUGAAGUACUUUCCCUGGGUUGGAGCAUUUCACAUUAAUGAGAAUCUUUUCCCUGAAACUAGACAACUUGCUUCUGGCCGGCUUGUCCUUCAUUGUCCUCAGGGGGCUGUGAGAGUGGGCACCAGCACUCUGUGCUCCUCCUUCAAGCCUUCUACUGACAGCUUCCUCUCCUCCUAUCUUCCUGUCCCAGCCCCUCUGCAUUCUAAUGUGUCUGCCCUGUCCAUGUGAAGGCUCAUGUUGUCUGAACCAGAGAAUGAUUUAGAUCAGAUUGAUCUUAGAGGAUAAUCCUGUCUCUUGGGUGACAACCCUUUCAGACUGCUAGGAGGGAUUGGUGGGACUGGGUUGGAACUGAAUGACCUUGUGUUAAGCCCUCAUCUUUUCCACCCCUCCCAGCCUCUGCUCUGCAUCACACCUCGGGGUGUGUGAAGAUCCACCCCCACUGGAAGGGCCAGAUGUCAUUGUGCCUAUUCUCAAGGAUGAUGGAUCCUACAUGCUCUGUGCAGUUUGGAUGGAUGAUCCUGAAGCGCCAGUCCAGGCCUGUGCUGGGGCCUGGCACCCUACAGCCCAGCAGCCCAUCUGCUGUGCUGAGGCCAUUGUGGUGAAAGAUGCCACCUACCAAAAAGAGAAAGUCAUGUUGGCAACUGCUGAUUGGGCUGAGGCUACCUCCAGGGUGUGUGGAGAUCCACCCCCACUGGAAGGGCCAGAUGUCAUUGUGCCUAUCCUCAAGGAUGAUGGAUCCUACUUGCUCUGUGGAUACUGGGCAGAUGAGCCUGAAGCACCAGUCCAGGCCUGGGCUGGGGCUCUGCACCCUACAGCCCAGCAGCCCAUCUGCUGUGCGGAGGCCAUUGUGGUGGAAGAUAGCUCCAGCCAGAAGGAGAAAAUAGAGGUGGCAUCUGCAGAGCAGACUGAGGCCAUACCCAGGGUGGGUGGAGAUCCACCCCCACUGGAAGGGCCAGAUGUCAUCGUGCCUAUCCUCAAGGAUGACGGAUCCUACCUGCUCUGUGCAUAUUGGGCAGAUGAGCCUGAAGCCCCAGUCCAGGCCUGGGCUGGGGCCCUGCACCCUACAGCCCAGCAGCCCAUCUGCUGUGCUGAGGCCAUUCUCGUGGAAGAGCCCUCAUCACAAGAGGAGGAAGGGAAGGUGGCACGUGCAGACCAGGCUGAGGCUAAUCAGAGGGUGUGUGGAGAUCCACCCCCACUGGAAGGGCCAGAUGUCAUUGUGCCUAUCCUCAAGGAUGAUGGAUCCUACCUGCUCUGUGGAUACUGGGCAGAUGAGCCUGAAGCACCAGCCCAGGUCUGGGCUGAGGCCUUGCAUGCAAAAACUCAGCAGCCCAUCUGCUGUGCUGAGGCUUUUUGGGCUAUCUACACAGUCCAACCAUCUGUCAUGGACUGGAAGCCAAGGACCUCAUAGUGGGUGAUCCCAGCAGUGAGCCUGAGCCCAGGCACAUUUUUCCCCACCCCCACCUUCUGCCAGUCAGGCAAACUGCCCACAUGGAAACCUACCCUCAAGCUGAUUGGAGAGGCAUAUGGGCGCCAGUGUCAGUUCUGUCCUAUAGUUAGUGUUCCCCAGAGUUAGUUGCACCCCUUCUCUUUCUCCCUGCCCUUUAAAAAGUGUACAUGCUGCAAAUAAAGUUGGACAUGGUCACUGCA